Molecule: long non-coding RNA, 477 nt
Filed under: Mastacembelus armatus (zig-zag eel)
Lineage: Eukaryota; Metazoa; Chordata; Actinopteri; Synbranchiformes; Mastacembelidae
Description: lncRNA (ENSMAMG00000027447.1)
Source: RNAcentral
GUCUUCUUUUUUUGGCCUGCCUCUUCUUUUAAAUUGUUUCUUCUUCUUUCCCCCUCCCCGCUUUGACUUUUAGCCCUGGGCUAGUGCACACAUGGUGAGUGCACACAUGCAGACACAUGCACAAACAGCAACAAAACAGAGCUGCACACCCACAUUUACUGCUCUUCUGCAUUUUCUGUUGAUUCCUGCACUCACUUUUUCAGCUGUCUAAGUCAGGACCAAGACGUCCCAUCUGCAGAUAGGUGUUCAGAGGACAGGGACAGGACACACAGCAGCACCAUAGACAUGUCAGACUCAGAGACCACCACUGCCCCCGCCGAGGCCCCCGUCCCCGCUGCAUGUGCCAACAUAAAGGCUAACCUGGAUAAAUGGGCCCAGUGGAGCCAUGUUUUUUUUUUUGUUUUGUUUUUUGUAACAUCUGGGUCUAUGCUGGGUGCAGUGUGGCAGAGAAGGGGGCCGAGGGCUGCAAAGAUCUGA